This 72-nucleotide transfer RNA is filed under the name Cavia porcellus (domestic guinea pig). It matches the Rfam family "tRNA". Rfam says of the family: Transfer RNA (tRNA) molecules are approximately 80 nucleotides in length. Their secondary structure includes four short double-helical elements and three loops (D, anti-codon, and T loops). Further hydrogen bonds mediate the characteristic L-shaped molecular structure. tRNAs have two regions of fundamental functional importance: the anti-codon, which is responsible for specific mRNA codon recognition, and the 3' end, to which the tRNAs corresponding amino acid is attached (by aminoacyl-tRNA synthetases). tRNAs cope with the degeneracy of the genetic code in two manners: having more than one tRNA (with a specific anti-codon) for a particular amino acid; and 'wobble' base-pairing, i.e. permitting non-standard base-pairing at the 3rd anti-codon position. The record is from Rfam by way of RNAcentral. Lineage: Eukaryota; Metazoa; Chordata; Mammalia; Rodentia; Caviidae.
GGGAGUGUUGCUCAAUAGUAGAGCUCUUACCUAGAAUGAAUGAGGUCCUGGGUUCCAUCCCCAGCACUGCAA